AUUUCCUAACUGCUUGUUGUGGUGCUGAAUUUUGGCUUAUUUCUGCAGAACCUAAUGGAACUGUAAUCUUGAUUUUCUUCUUCUUCUUAUGUUCCGGGGCAACUUGCUUUGGUAACUUGAUCAAAAGUCGUGACUCGGCAUAAUUUUCAGAAUCCGAGGGAACCUUAGGCACAGCAAAAGGCUGAGGGGUCCCAUUGACUGAGGAGCUGGGAGAGAUAAGUUGCAUA
This 227-nucleotide unclassified non-coding RNA is filed under the name Hevea brasiliensis (rubber tree). Lineage: Eukaryota; Viridiplantae; Streptophyta; Magnoliopsida; Malpighiales; Euphorbiaceae. The record is from RNAcentral.